RNAcentral lists this ribosomal RNA (189 nucleotides) under uncultured Staphylococcus sp. RNAcentral describes it as "partial 16S ribosomal RNA". It matches the Rfam family "Bacterial small subunit ribosomal RNA", at positions 151 to 334 of the family's 1533-position model. Lineage: Bacteria; Bacillati; Bacillota; Bacilli; Caryophanales; Staphylococcaceae. The record is from RNAcentral.
GGGAAACCGGGGCUAAUACCGGAUAACACAUGAAACCGCAUGGUUUCAUGAUUAAAGACGGUUUUGCUGUCACUUAUAGAUGGACCCGCGGCGUAUUAGCUAGUUGGUAAGGUAACGGCUUACCAAGGCAACGAUGCGUAGCCGACCUGAGAGGGUGAUCGGCCACACUGGAACUGAGACACGGUCCAG